UAACAUUCUGAAAAGAAUGCUAAUACCGCAUGACAUAUCGGAACCACAUGGUUUUGAUAUCAAAGAUUUUAUCGCUUGAAGAUGGACUCGCGUCCGAUUAGUUAGUUGGUGAGGUAACGGCUCACCAAGACCGCGAUCGGUAGCCGGACUGAGAGGUUGAACGGCCACAUUGGGACUGAGACACGGCCCAGACUCCUACGGGAGGCAGCAGUGGGGGAUAUUGCGCAAUGGGGGCAACCCUGACGCAGCAACGCCGCGUGAAGGAUGAAGGUUUUCGGAUUGUAAACUUCUUUUAUUAAGGACGAAAAAUGACGGUACUUAAUGAAUAAGCUCCGGCUAACUACGUGCCAGCAGCCGCGGUAAUACGUAGGGAGCAAGCGUUGUCCGGAUUUACUGGGUGUAAAGGGUGCGUAGGCGGCUUUGCAAGUCAGAUGUGAAAUCUAUGGGCUCAACCCAUAAACUGCAUUUGAAACUGUAGAGCUUGAGUGAAGUAGAGGCAGGCGGAAUUCCCCGUGUAGCGGUGAAAUGCGUAGAGAUGGGGAGGAACACCAGUGGCGAAGGCGGCCUGCUGGGCUUUAACUGACGCUGAGGCACGAAAGCGUGGGUAGCAAACAGGAUUAGAUACCCUGGUAGUCCACGCUGU
Molecule: ribosomal RNA, 643 nt
Filed under: uncultured bacterium
Lineage: Bacteria
Description: bacterial SSU rRNA
Rfam family: Bacterial small subunit ribosomal RNA
Source: RNAcentral